This 253-nucleotide ribosomal RNA is filed under the name uncultured bacterium. Its description in RNAcentral is "partial 16S ribosomal RNA". It matches the Rfam family "Bacterial small subunit ribosomal RNA", at positions 524 to 776 of the family's 1533-position model. The record is from RNAcentral.
UACGUAGGGUGCGAGCGUUGUCCGGAAUUAUUGGGCGUAAAGAGCUCGUAGGCGGUGUGUCACGUCGUUCGUGAAAACCUGCAGCUUAACUGUGGGCGUGCGGUCGAUACGGGCAUCACUGGAGUUCGGCAGGGAGACUGGAAUUCCUGGUGUAGCGGUGAAAUGCGCAGAUAUCAGGAGGAACACCGGUGGUGUAGACGGCUCUCUGGACCGUAACUGACGCUGAGACACGAAAGCCAGGGGAGCGAACGGG